GGGGCUGACUGGCUUUGACAGCGUGCAGAAGCGGUGUGUAAGCGUGCAGAGCUUUGUAGCCUAUGCUCUUUAAUAUCAGGCUGCGAUCAAUUUUAAAUGGCGAAAACAACUACGCUCUUGCUGCUUGAUUGAAGCACAGUAGAUCAGCUUAAUCGCCGCAAUAGUUGCAGCGACAAGACAUCGCCCGACAGUCCUUUUUCCGAGACAGGUCGAUCAGGCGGUGCAGGAAUAUCGGAAAUAGGGAAUCCGGAGCCUCGACAGAUUCCCGAAGUUUUUGAGGAUAAGAUUGCGGUAGGUAGUUUCAGGCCGGCCUCAAUCCGAAAAUCAACUUGAAACUAAGCACGUAGAAAGCUCAUUGAUUCCACGUUUGGACGAGGGUUCAAGUCCCUCCAGCUCCACUA
Molecule: transfer-messenger RNA, 401 nt
Filed under: Muribaculaceae bacterium
Lineage: Bacteria; Pseudomonadati; Bacteroidota; Bacteroidia; Bacteroidales; Muribaculaceae
Rfam family: transfer-messenger RNA
About the family: Bacterial tmRNA, also known as 10Sa RNA or SsrA, is named for its dual tRNA and mRNA-like properties. Its role is to liberate the mRNA from a stalled ribosome. To accomplish this part of the tmRNA is used as a reading frame that ends in a translation stop signal.
Source: RNAcentral